This 525-nucleotide ribosomal RNA is filed under the name uncultured bacterium. Its description in RNAcentral is "partial 16S ribosomal RNA". It matches the Rfam family "Bacterial small subunit ribosomal RNA", at positions 355 to 870 of the family's 1533-position model. The record is from RNAcentral.
UGGGGAAUUUUGGACAAUGGGCGAAAGCCUGAUCCAGCAAUGCCGCGUGUGUGAAGAAGGCCUUCGGGUUGUAAAGCACUUUUGUCCGGAAAGAAAUCCUUGGCUCUAAUACAGUCGGGGGAUGACGGUACCGGAAGAAUAAGCACCGGCUAACUACGUGCCAGCAGCCGCGGUAACACGUAGGGUGCAAGCGUUAAUCGGAAUUACUGGGCGUAAAGCGUGCGCAGGCGGUUUGCUAAGACCGAUGUGAAAUCCCCGGGCUCAACCUGGGAACUGCAUUGGUGACUGGCAGGCUAGAGUAUGGCAGAGGGGGGUAGAAUUCCACGUGUAGCAGUGAAAUGCGUAGAGAUGUGGAGGAAUACCCGAUGGCGAAGGCAGCCCCCUGGGCCAAUACUGACGCUCAUGCACGAAAGCGUGGGGAGCAAACAGGAUUCAGAUACCCUGGUAGUCCACGCCCUAAAGCGAUGUCAACUAGUUGUUGGGGAUUCAUUUCCUUAGUAACGUAGCUAACGCGUGAAGUUGACC